AUACAUGCAAGUCGAGCGGACAGAUGGGAGCUUGCUCCCUGAUGUUAGCGGCGGACGGGUGAGUAACACGUGGGUAACCUGCCUGUAAGACUGGGAUAACUCCGGGAAACCGGGGCUAAUACCGGAUGGUUGUUUGAACCGCAUGGUUCAAACAUAAAAGGUGGCUUCGGCUACCACUUACAGAUGGACCCGCGGCGCAUUAGCUAGUUGGUGAGGUAACGGCUCACCAAGGCAACGAUGCGUAGCCGAGAGAGGGUGAUCGGCCACACUGGGACUGAGACACGGCCCAGACUCCUACGGGAGGCAGCAGUAGGGAAUCUUCCGCAAUGGACGAAAGUCUGACGGAGCAACGCCGCGUGAGUGAUGAAGGUUUUCGGAUCGUAAAGCUCUGUUGUUAGGGAAGAACAAGUACCGUUCGAAUAGGGCGGUACCUUGACGGUACCUCAGAAAGCCACGGCUAACUACGUGCCAGCAGCCGCGGUAAUACGUAGGUGGCAAGGUGAUGUGCUGCUUUUUCUGCGUUAAGGGCUCGCAGGCGGUUUCUUAAGUCUGAUGUGAAAGCCCCCGGCUCAACCGGGGAGGGUCAUUGGAAACUGGGGAACUUGAGUGCAGAAGAGGAGAGUGGAAUUCCACGUGUAGCGGUGAAAUGCGUAGAGAUGUGGAGGAACACCAGUGGCGAAGGCGACUCUCUGGUCUGUAACUGACGCUGAGGAGCGAAAGCGUGGGGAGCGAACAGGAUUAGAUACCCUGGUAGUCCACGCCGUAAACGAUGAGUGCUAAGUGUUAGGGGGUUUCCGCCCCUUAGUGCUGCAGCUAACGCAUUAAGCACUCCGCCUGGGGAGUACGGUCGCAAGACUGAAACUCAAAGGAAUUGACGGGGGCCCGCACAAGCGGUGGAGCAUGUGGU
Molecule: ribosomal RNA, 907 nt
Filed under: Bacillus subtilis
Lineage: Bacteria; Bacillati; Bacillota; Bacilli; Caryophanales; Bacillaceae
Description: bacterial SSU rRNA
Rfam family: Bacterial small subunit ribosomal RNA
Source: RNAcentral